Vicia faba (fava bean) is the source of this 204-nucleotide non-coding RNA. NCBI's taxonomy places the organism in Eukaryota, Viridiplantae, Streptophyta, Magnoliopsida, Fabales, Fabaceae. The record is from the annotation of a GenBank genome assembly.
AUGAUGCGGCAGCGAGAGAGAGUCCACGGUGAGCUCAGUUUUCUGACGAAAGUUCAGAGCUUGGAGAAAGUAAAUGGUGUGAAGAGUAAAUUGUGGCGUAGAAGCAAAAUGGAGAAGCUGGGUGUGGGGGGAAAUGGUGAUUCAAGAAAACAAUCAAGGCUAUUAGGACUUAGGAAGGAUUGUAGCAUUGGUGUAACUUUAUAA